ACAAUCUGGCAGAUGAAAGAAAAACCAAGAAUAAGAAAGCUGAAAAACUGAGGGUAGCCUAGACUGGAGCUCAUGAGAUCUUCAUGUUAACAGCUAUGCAGAAGCACCCAAAAGGGGAAAGAGAAAAAGACAACAGAAAAAAACAAACAAACAACACCUUCUAAGUCUGGAAAGCUUUUUUAAACUGUGCA
This is a long non-coding RNA of Oxyura jamaicensis (ruddy duck), 191 nucleotides long. RefSeq lists it as uncharacterized. The record is from RefSeq and is a predicted model, not a curated record. The transcript has 3 exons. Lineage: Eukaryota; Metazoa; Chordata; Aves; Anseriformes; Anatidae.